UACAGAGGUGGCAAGCGUUGUUCGGAAUUACUGGGCGUAAAGGGCGCGUAGGCGGUUCGUUAAGUCCUGUGUGAAAUCCCCCGGCUCAACUGGGGAACUGCACAGGAAACUAGCGGGCUUGAGUUCGGGAGAGGGAAGCGGAAUUCCGGGUGUAGCGGUGAAAUGCGUAGACAUCCGGAGGAACACCGGUGGCGAAGGCGGCUUCCUGGACCGACACUGACGCUGAGGCGCGAAAGCUAGGGGAGCAAACGGG
This 253-nucleotide ribosomal RNA is filed under the name uncultured bacterium. RNAcentral describes it as "partial 16S ribosomal RNA". It matches the Rfam family "Bacterial small subunit ribosomal RNA", at positions 524 to 776 of the family's 1533-position model. The record is from RNAcentral.